UCCGGGUUGGACCCGGCGGUCCCGCCAGACAUGAUAACUGGCAGCGAGGGUUGCGCUCGUUGCGGGACUUAACCCAACACCUCACGACACGAGCUGACGACAACCAUGCACCACCUGUGCACGACCCUUGCGGACCCCCCAUCUCUGGAGGAUUCCCGUGCAUGUCAAGCCUAGGUAAGGUUCUUCGCGUUGCAUCGAAUUAAGCAACAUGCUCCGCCGCUUGUGCGGGCCCCCGUCAAUUCCUUUGAGUUUUAGCCUUGCGGCCGUACUCCACAGGCGGGGCACUUAAUGCGUUAGCUGCGGCACGGAGAACGUGGAAUGUUCCCCACACCUAGUGCCCACCGUUUACGGCGUGGACUAC
RNAcentral lists this unclassified non-coding RNA (361 nucleotides) under uncultured Actinomycetes bacterium. RNAcentral describes it as "uncultured actinobacterium contains 16S-23S intergenic spacer region". The record is from RNAcentral. Lineage: Bacteria; Bacillati; Actinomycetota; Actinomycetes.